UACGGAGGAUGCAAGCGUUAUCCGGAAUUAUUGGGCGUAAAGCGUCCGUAGGUGGCUUUACAAGUCAGCUGUUAAAGCGUGGAGCUUAACUCCAUAAAGGCAGUUGAAACUGUGAGGCUAGAGUGCGGUAGGGGUAAGGGGAAUUCCCAGUGUAGCGGUGAAAUGCGUAGAUAUUGGGAAGAACACCGGUGGCGAAAGCGCCUUGCUGGACCUGCACUGACACUGAGGGACGAAAGCUAGGGGAGCGAACCGG
RNAcentral lists this ribosomal RNA (253 nucleotides) under uncultured bacterium. Its description in RNAcentral is "partial 16S ribosomal RNA". It matches the Rfam family "Bacterial small subunit ribosomal RNA", at positions 524 to 776 of the family's 1533-position model. The record is from RNAcentral.